This 213-nucleotide long non-coding RNA is filed under the name Theobroma cacao (cacao). RNAcentral's name for it is "long non-coding RNA (TCAC_LNC001739)". The record is from RNAcentral. Lineage: Eukaryota; Viridiplantae; Streptophyta; Magnoliopsida; Malvales; Malvaceae.
UAAAUCCUUAUGUUUUAUAAGUAAAAUGUGUUUAAAUAAAAUGAUUUUAUAAAUUGUCUUGAAAUUGAAUUAUGGUUUUGAAAAUAGAGUAAUUGGAGACCACUUGAUGUGUUGUAAAUUUAUGAUUUUAAAUUGAAUGGCUUAUGACAAUAUAUGAGCAUGAAUGGCUAAACUGAUUUUUGGUGUUAGAAUUAUUUGUACUGUGUAUUCAGC